RNAcentral lists this ribosomal RNA (385 nucleotides) under uncultured bacterium. RNAcentral's name for it is "bacterial SSU rRNA". It matches the Rfam family "Bacterial small subunit ribosomal RNA", at positions 29 to 440 of the family's 1533-position model. The record is from RNAcentral.
AACGAACGCUGGCGGCAGGCUUAACACAUGCAAGUCGAACGGGCACCUUCGGGUGUCAGUGGCAGACGGGUGAGUAACGCGUGGGAACGUACCCUUCGGUUCGGAAUAACCCAGGGAAACUUGGGCUAACACCGGAUACGUCCGCAAGGAGAAAGAUUUAUCGCCGAAGGACCGGCCCGCGUCGGAUUAGCUAGUUGGUGGGGUAAUGGCCCACCAAGGCGACGAUCCGUAGCUGGUCUGAGAGGAUGAUCAGCCACACUGGGACUGAGACACGGCCCAGACUCCUACGGAGGCAGCAGUGGGGAAUAUUGGACAAUGGGCGAAAGCCUGAUCCAGCCAUGCCGCGUGAGUGAAGAAGGCCUUAGGGUUGUAAAGCUCUUUCAGC